Caenorhabditis elegans is the source of this 148-nucleotide non-coding RNA. The record is from Ensembl. NCBI's taxonomy places the organism in Eukaryota, Metazoa, Nematoda, Chromadorea, Rhabditida, Rhabditidae.
UAUGUUAUUUAUGUCCGUCCGCAAAACUUCGAAGACACAUGACUGAAUGAAACUGUUUGUUACAAAAUGAUUGAUUAGAGGGGGGGGGGGGGGGGGUAGAACUAAAACUGGAAGGGCUCUGAAUACCAAAUACCAGAACCAAAUUUUU